CUGAGAACUCCACUGCUAGUGUGUAACAAGGUUAGAUUUAGAGUUUACACCUGACCAUACCUGGGCCGUGUGCCUCAGGAUUCUGCCAUUGAACAGCAGGAAGGGAGGGAUGAGGUUUUCAGGAGAGGAGUCACCUGCCAUCCCAUAAUAUGGCACUCAAGGGAUGAGCUGACACUGUUGAUGCCUGCAGGGAGUUUUGCAGUGGAGCAGGGACUAAGGAGUUUUUGUGUUCUUUCUUCCUGAGAUGGGACUGUCAGAGGUAGCAUGAACCCAACGCCUUUAAGGAAUGCUGAGGGCCAUCGGCGGGAGGAGCGGUAGGGCUUGGCUUUAUUUCCACCUUUCUGCUGCUGCAGGAGGCACGUUUUUGAGACUCACUUCUCCAGAAGAGCAUGGGAGCAGAACCCACACCCUCAGCUAUCAAUAUGUACAUGAAUAUAAAAAUAUGACCAGGGUCCACACCUUCCCUUUGCAGGAUAUUGCCAAACAUUCCAGGUUUUAUCACACUUUCAUGGAGUUCCAGAAACCUCUGGGCUGGUCCAUGGACUUCCGUGCAAAAUCUUUUAUUAGCAAGAACCUACUACCCCCACACCUGACAUAUCUGAUCACCUUCCUUAUCCUACCCAGUGACGUCUCAACUCCCUGCCCUGUGUCCAGCAAGACUGCUGGGUCAGAGUGGAGAGAAUUCAGCUCAUCCUUAUGUUUCCAUGGGAACCUUUCCUUCCCAUGGACCUGAUCCUGAUUCUUGCCGAUAGACAACAGCUUGCCCACACUGUGUUUGGAAUUAGACUGUAUCUUCACCCCUUAAUCUUCAUAGGAAAACCCAAGGCUGGUGACAUGGCUCAGCUGGGUAAGGGUGAUGGUGGCCAAGCAUGAUGACUUGAAUUUGGUCCCUGAUACUGGGCAUUCUUUCCGUCACGGGAAGGAGAGGGCUGACUCCUGCAAGUUGUCUUUUGAUCUCCACAAGUGCACAUCCCCCUUCCUGCAAAAUAAAUAACCUAAUGUAAUUUAAGAAGAUGAAGACGAAAAAACACUGUCAAGGUCCUUAUAUCUAUCGAGACAGUCCUCAAUAAAAUUUUUCUUACAC
Molecule: long non-coding RNA, 1084 nt
Filed under: Rattus norvegicus (Norway rat)
Lineage: Eukaryota; Metazoa; Chordata; Mammalia; Rodentia; Muridae
Description: long non-coding RNA NONRATT002267
Source: RNAcentral